GUACUGCCAAUUUAGCUGGUCAUGUUCCUUUCCUCAUGAGAGCCUUGUGUGCAGUGUCGCCAAGCUACUGCCCCUUCUUGGAAGUGUGUGCAGCCUGUUGCUUGAAUGUGUUGCCCUCCGAGACCUUGGGGACAGUU
Molecule: small nucleolar RNA, 137 nt
Organism: Microtus ochrogaster (prairie vole)
Lineage: Eukaryota; Metazoa; Chordata; Mammalia; Rodentia; Cricetidae
Gene: SNORA70
Rfam family: Small nucleolar RNA SNORA70
About the family: snoRNA U70 seems to be exclusive to mammals and is a member of the H/ACA class of snoRNA which contain H (ANANNA) and ACA box motifs. H/ACA box snoRNAs are involved in the conversion of uridines to pseudouridines (5-ribosyluracil) a constituent of structural RNAs (transfer, ribosomal, small nuclear, and small nucleolar).
Source: Ensembl